Molecule: unclassified non-coding RNA, 261 nt
Filed under: plant metagenome
Description: partial contains small subunit ribosomal RNA, internal transcribed spacer 1, and 5.8S ribosomal RNA
Source: RNAcentral
UCUCCGUUGGUGAACCAGCGGAGGGAUCAUUACCGAGUUUACAACUCCCAAACCCCAAUGUGAGCGCUACCAAACUGUUGCCUCGGCGGGAUUUCUGCCCCGGGCGCGCCGCAGCCCCGGACCUACCCGCCCGCCGGAGGGCCAACACAAAACUCUUUUGUAUACUCCCUCGCGGUUUUUAUAUUUCUCAGCCUUCACGGCGCCCCUAGCGGGCGUAUCGAAAAUGAAUCAAAACUUUCAACAACGGAUCUCUUGGUUCUG